AGAUAAUGACCCACGCCCUGGGCGGUUCGGGGGAAGAGGCAGAGUGUUGCAUGGACAAAUGAGAGGGCGGUGUUACAAAUGUGGCCUUCGUGGCCACCGAGCGGCGACAUGCGACGCACG
This is a long non-coding RNA of Dendronephthya gigantea, 120 nucleotides long. RefSeq lists it as uncharacterized. The transcript has 3 exons. Lineage: Eukaryota; Metazoa; Cnidaria; Anthozoa; Malacalcyonacea; Nephtheidae. The record is from RefSeq and is a predicted model, not a curated record.